This 460-nucleotide ribosomal RNA is filed under the name uncultured bacterium. Its description in RNAcentral is "partial 16S ribosomal RNA". It matches the Rfam family "Bacterial small subunit ribosomal RNA", at positions 338 to 795 of the family's 1533-position model. The record is from RNAcentral.
CCUACGGGGUGCAGCAGUGAGGAAUAUUGGUCAAUGGACGAGAGUCUGAACCAGCCAAGUAGCGUGAAGGAUGACUGCCCUAUGGGUUGUAAACUUCUUUUAUAUGGGAAUAAAAUGUUCCAUGUGUGGGAUUUUGUAUGUACCAUAUGAAUAAGGAUCGGCUAACUCCGUGCCAGAAGCCGAGGUAAUACGGAGGAUCCGAGCGUUAUCCGGAUUUAUUGGGGUUAAAGGGAGCGUAGGUGGAUUGUUAAGUCAGUUGUGAAAGGUUGCGGCUCAACCGUAAAAUUGCAGUUGAAACUGGCAGUCUUGAGUACAGUAGAGGUGGGCGGAAUUCGUGGUGUAGCGGUGAAAUGCUUAGAUAUCACGAAGAACUCCGAUUGCGAAGGCAGCUCACUGGACUGCAACUGACACUGAGGCUCGAAAGUGUGGGUAUCAAACAGGAUUAGAUACCCCAGUAGUC